This 85-nucleotide transfer RNA is filed under the name Felis catus (domestic cat). It matches the Rfam family "tRNA". Rfam says of the family: Transfer RNA (tRNA) molecules are approximately 80 nucleotides in length. Their secondary structure includes four short double-helical elements and three loops (D, anti-codon, and T loops). Lineage: Eukaryota; Metazoa; Chordata; Mammalia; Carnivora; Felidae. The record is from Rfam by way of RNAcentral. RNAcentral also lists the same sequence under 1 other name.
GCCUGGGUGGCUCAGUCUGUUAAGCAUCUGACUUUGACUCAGGUCAUGAUUUCAAGGUUCGUGAGUUCAAGCCCCGCAUCAGGCU